This 460-nucleotide ribosomal RNA is filed under the name uncultured bacterium. RNAcentral describes it as "partial 16S ribosomal RNA". It matches the Rfam family "Bacterial small subunit ribosomal RNA", at positions 338 to 795 of the family's 1533-position model. The record is from RNAcentral.
CCUACGGGUGGCAGCAGUGAGGAAUAUUGGUCAAUGGGCGCGAGCCUGAACCAGCCAAGUCGCGUGAGGGAAGACGGCCCUACGGGUUGUAAACCUCUUUUGCCGGGGAGCAACGGGCGCCACGUGUGGCGCCACUGAGAGUACCCGGAGAAAAAGCAUCGGCUAACUCCGUGCCAGCAGCCGCGGUAAUACGGAGGAUGCGAGCGUUAUCCGGAUUUAUUGGGUUUAAAGGGUGCGUAGGCGGAGCGUUAAGUCAGUGGUCAAAUUGAGGGGCUCAACCCCUUCCCGCCAUUGAAACUGGCGCUCUUGAGUGGAAGAGAAGUAUGCGGAAUGCGUGGUGUAGCGGUGAAAUGCGUAGAUAUAUGGAAGAACACCAGUGGCGAAGGCGGCUCUCUGGUCUGCAACUGACGCUGAGGCUCGAAAGCAUGGGUAGCGAACAGGAUUAGAUACCCCUGUAGUC